GCCGGAGUGGCGGAAUUGGCAGACGCAGGAGACUCAAAAUCUCCCGGGGUUCACGCCCCGUGUGGGUUCGAGUCCCACCUCCGGCA
Molecule: transfer RNA, 86 nt
Filed under: bacterium
Lineage: Bacteria
Also listed under: 2 other names
Description: tRNA-Leu
Rfam family: tRNA
About the family: Transfer RNA (tRNA) molecules are approximately 80 nucleotides in length. Their secondary structure includes four short double-helical elements and three loops (D, anti-codon, and T loops).
Source: RNAcentral